Molecule: small RNA, 104 nt
Filed under: Epilithonimonas lactis
Lineage: Bacteria; Pseudomonadati; Bacteroidota; Flavobacteriia; Flavobacteriales; Weeksellaceae
Description: Chryseobacterium halperniae Flavo-1 RNA
Source: RNAcentral
UCUGCAACCCGACUUGAGCGGAAAUCCUUUUUUGCUUUUUCUACGUUUUCUUUUGAAAACAAAUCGUCUGCAAAAAAGAUUGGGAGCGGAAGGCGGAUAAGUUG